RNAcentral lists this ribosomal RNA (465 nucleotides) under uncultured bacterium. RNAcentral's name for it is "partial 16S ribosomal RNA". It matches the Rfam family "Bacterial small subunit ribosomal RNA", at positions 28 to 507 of the family's 1533-position model. The record is from RNAcentral.
GAUAAACGCUGACAGAAUGCUUAACACAUGCAAGUCGAUGAUGGGAGCUAGCUUGCUAGAAGAAGUCAUGGCGGACGGGUGAGUAACGUGUAAAGAACUUACCAUAUAGACUGGGAUAACAGAGGGAAACUUCUGAUAAUACUGGAUAAGUUAGUAGUAGCAUUACUAAGUAAUGAAAGGUAGCAAUACGCUAUAUGAGAGCUUUGCAUCCUAUUAGCUAGUUGGUGGGGUAAAAGCCUACCAAGGCGAUGAUAGGUAGCCGGCCUGAGAGGGUGGACAGCCACAAGGGGACUGAGAUACGGCCCUUACUCCUACGGGAGGAAGCAGUGGGGAAUAUUGGACAAUGGAGGCAACUCUGAUCCAGCAAUUCUGUGUGUGUGAAGAAGGUUUUAGGACUGUAAAACACUUUUAGUAGGGAAGAAAGAAAUGACGGUACCUACAGAAGAAGCGACGGCUAAAUACGUG